Long non-coding RNA from Papaver somniferum (opium poppy), 975 nucleotides. RefSeq lists it as uncharacterized. The transcript has 2 exons. The record is from RefSeq and is a predicted model, not a curated record. Lineage: Eukaryota; Viridiplantae; Streptophyta; Magnoliopsida; Ranunculales; Papaveraceae.
UUAAGUAAACCAUCAGAUCAGACCAUCUCUAUAUCUUAAUUUCUAGGUUUUUCCUUCGCAAGAAGCAACAAAUAGUAAUGGCUCAAAUUCAUAAGCUUCAAGGUGAACUUAUACUUGAGAGUCAUGCUGAUAAGUUAUACACCAUGAUGACUCGUGAUGCACCUAAUCUUCCAAAAUACGUUCCAGAGUCAUGCUGAUAAGUGUCAGGUUCUCCCGGAAGAUGGUGAAAUUCGAUUGGGUAGUAUUUUUGUUUGGGACUACGUAUUAGGCACGUCUUCUGUCAGGACGAAGGACAGGAUAACUGCAGUGAACCAUAAAAAUAUGUCAAUAACUUACACAGUCAUUGAAGGACACCUUGCAGUCGAUUACUCAAGUUUUGAUAUCACACUCGAUGUUACUCCGAUCCAGGGGUAGGGGGUAAUAAAAGCAAGGUGAACUGGUCAAUCAAGUAUGAGAAAGAGAAUGAACUCCUGAUAAAAAACUAUAUAAACCAGAGUUCAUUCUAGAAAUGAACUCCUGAUAAAAACCUAUAUAAACUAGAGUUCAUUUGUAAAAAUGAACAACAUCAUCAUCAUCAUCUUCCUCUUCUUCGACGUCUUCAAAAGCAGAAGCAACAUCGUCGUCUUCAAACACCACCAGCAACACCAUCUUCCAUCGUCUUCAAACACCAACAGCAACAUCAUCUUCCAUCAUCGUCGUCUUCAAAAACCGAGUUCGUUUUCAUCAUCGUUAUCGUGUUCAUCAUCUUAACCAGCAGCAACAACAACAACAACAACAGAUCUUGUAAGUAUUCACCAUCAUCAUCUUCAUCAUACAGCAGCAGAAACAAAGAAAGAAAAAACAUAACGAGUUCAUCUUCAAUAGCAAAACAACAAGAUCUAUGUUUCUUGUUUACAUCAUCUUCAAAUGUUUUUUGUUUCACAUCAUCUAUGUAAAUUAAAAACCCUAGAAAAAUACAUAUCUUCAUUGAUUCUA